UGGCUUAGAAGCAGCCAUUCAUUUAAAGAGUGCGUAAUAGCUCACUGGUCGAGUGAAGUUGCGCGGAAAAUUACCGGGGCUAAGUUAUACACCGAAAUUGCGGAUUCAUUAAGAAAUUAAUGAGUGGUAGAGGAGCGUUCUAUACAGGAUGAAGUAUGAUCGAGAGGACAUAUGGACAGUAUAGAAGAGAGAAUGCCGGAAUGAGUAGCGAGAGCAAAGUGAGAAUCUUUGCCGUCGAAAAUCUAAGGUUUCCUGGGGAAGGUUCGUCCGCCCAGGGUAAGUCGGGACCUAAGGUGAGGCCGAAGGGCGUAGCCGAUGGACAGCAGGUUAAGAUUCCUGCACCAGUAUACAUGUAUAAUGCAUAAGAGGACACAUUUGAAGAAGGUGAGCGAGGAAGAGGAAAAACUCGUAUGGCAACAUAUAGUGAAAUCAAGUAACGAAUCAUCAAGAGGCAAGUGGCGAGAAAAGUCUUAUGUAGUUGUGUAGACUGCCCGUACCGCAAACCGACACAGGUAGAUGAGGAGAGGAUCCUAAGACGAGCGGGAGAAGCAUUGUUAAGGAACUCGGCAAAUUGACCCCGUAACUUAGGGAUAAGGGGUGCUGGUGUAAAAGCCAGUCGCAGUAAAUAGGCCCAAGCAACUGUUUAACAAAAACACAGGUUUCUGCUAAAUCGCAAGAUGAAGUAUAGGAGCUGACUCCUGCCCAGUGCUGGAAGGUUAAGGGGAAAGGUUAAGAAUAAUUCAUUAUAUCUGAAGCUUUGAACUCAAGCCCCAGUGAACGGCGGCCGUAACUAUAACGGUCCUAAGGUAGCGAAAUUCCUUGUCAGGUAAGUUCUGACCCGCACGAAAGGUGUAAUGAUUUGGGCACUGUCUCAACAAUGUACCCGGCGAAAUUGUAGUACUAGUGAAGAUGCUAGUUACCUGCGACAAGACGGAAAGACCCCAUGGAGCUUUACUAUAGCCUGAUAUUGGGCUUUGGUAUCUUAUGUACAGGAUAGGUGGGAGACUAUGAGAUUAAGACGCAAGUCUUAAAGGAGUCAACCUUGGAAUACCACCCUUAAGAUAUUAGAGUUCUAACUUGUGAUCAUAAACUGGUCAGAGGACAUUGUCAGGUGGGUAGUUUGACUGGGGCGGUCUCCUCCUAAAGAGUAACGGAGGUGCGCAAAGGUUUCCUCGGCACGGUCAGAAAUCGUGCUAAUGAGUGUAAAGGCAUAAGGAAGCUUAACUGAGAGAGAGACAUCUCGACCAGAUACGAAAGUAGGUCUUAGUGAUCCGGUGGUAGAAAAUGGAAUUGCCAUCGCUCAACGGAUAAAAGUUACCCUGGGGAUAACAGGCUUAUCUCCCCCAAGAGUUCACAUCGACGGGGAGGUUUGGCACCUCGAUGUCGGCUCAUCGCAUCCUGGGGCUGGAGCAGGUCCCAAGGGUUGGGCUGUUCGCCCAUUAAAGCGGUACGCGAGCUGGGUUCAGAACGUCGUGAGACAGUUCGGUCCCUAUCUGUCGCAGGCGCAGGAUAUUUGAAAGGAGCUGUCCUUAGUACGAGAGGACCAGGAUGGACAUACCAAUGGUGCAACAGUUGUCACACCAGUGGCACAGCUGUGUAGCUAAGUAUGGAAGGGAUAAACGCUGAAAGCAUCUAAGCGUGAAGCCCCCCUUAAGAUAAGAUAUCCCACAACGUCAAGUUGGUAAGAUUCCAGUUAGACUAACUGGUUGAUAGGUUAGAGGUGUAAGUGUGGUGACACAUUUAGCUGACUAAUACUAAUAAUCGAGGGCUUAACCAA
Molecule: ribosomal RNA, 1777 nt
Filed under: human oral metagenome
Description: bacterial LSU rRNA
Rfam family: Bacterial large subunit ribosomal RNA
Source: RNAcentral